CUUCCAGGGAAUCCGCUCACAGUUCCUUGGCACAACAAUCUGUGGCACCCAGACUUACUGGGAACUGCUGGAGCACAAUGUGCGUGUGCUUCCCUAGUCAAGGGAGAGAACUUUCUGCCUUCAAAUGUUAGCAGAAACCUGGAUUCCUCUAGUGGGGAGAAUAGGAGGCUAAAGCAAUAAACAAACGGAUAGACGGAGGAACGCUGUGCAUUGUGGGUGUCUGAUGCAUCAUCCUCUGAGGUGGGUGAGAGAUGCUUUCUCCUUUCUACGACCCAGGAUCAGAGGCAAGGAAAGCACCAAGAGCACACACUAAGAUGUUUUCAAAGGUAUUGGCACCCUCUGUCACCUAAAGUGCAAAAGGAAGCAGUCCCCUUCACUUUCUAGAUGGUCCCUGCUGGACAUCGGGGCUCCCCACACUGCUGUGAGCCACUCCCUCUGCUCUGGCAAGGUGUCACUCCUCAGAUAGGUGCCCUGACUCUCCUGUGUCAACUGCAGCAGGCUAAUAGCAUCAGCCUUUUCUCUUCAUCAUCCAAGCACAGUUGUGCCUACACACUGGUAUUUUCCAUCCCCAUCUAUUCUGCUAUGAUGAUCUUCACUAUAGUUCGCUUUAAGCGUUUCACAGAGUUCACAGCCAC
This 635-nucleotide long non-coding RNA is filed under the name Cricetulus griseus (Chinese hamster). Its description in RNAcentral is "lncRNA (ENSCGRG00015035893.1)". Lineage: Eukaryota; Metazoa; Chordata; Mammalia; Rodentia; Cricetidae. The record is from RNAcentral.